UUGGCUCAGGAUGAACGCUGGCGGCGUGCCUAACACAUGCAAGUCGAACGGAGUAUAUGCGCUGAUGAUCGAAGUGCUUGCAUAGAGAGAAUCUUGUAUAUACUUAGUGGCGGACGGGUGAGUAACGUGUGGAUAACCUGGUCCAUCCAGGGGGAUAGCAGCUGGAAACGGCUGGUAAUACCGCAUAAGCGCACAGCAGGGCAUCCUGCGGUGUGAAAAGAUUUAUCGGGAUGGAAUGGAUCCGCAUCUGAUUAGCCAGUCGGCGGGGUAACGGCCCACCGAAGCGACGAUCAGUAGCCGGCCUGAGAGGGCGGACGGCCACAUUGGGACUGAGACACGGCCCAGACUCCUACGGGAGGCAGCAGUGGGGAAUA
This 374-nucleotide ribosomal RNA is filed under the name uncultured rumen bacterium. Its description in RNAcentral is "bacterial SSU rRNA". It matches the Rfam family "Bacterial small subunit ribosomal RNA", at positions 19 to 363 of the family's 1533-position model. The record is from RNAcentral.